Molecule: ribosomal RNA, 377 nt
Filed under: uncultured bacterium
Lineage: Bacteria
Description: bacterial SSU rRNA
Rfam family: Bacterial small subunit ribosomal RNA
Source: RNAcentral
UAUUGGACAAUGGGCGCAAGCCUGAUCCAGCCAUGCCGCGUGAGUGAUGAAGGCCUUCCGGCUGUAAAGCUCUUUUGGCGGGGACGAUGAUGACGGUACCCGCAGAAUAAGCCCCGGCUAACUUCGUGCCAGCAGCCGCGGUAAGACGAAGGGGGCUAGCGUUGUUCGGAAUUACUGGGCGUAAAGCGAGUGUAGGUGGUUGUCCAAGUUGGAUGUGAAAGCCUUGAGCUCAACUCAAGAAAUGCAUUCAGGACUGGAUGGCUAGAGGACCGGAGAGGAUAGUGGAAUUCCCAGUGUAGUGGUGAAAUACGUAGAGAUUGGGAAGAACACCAGUGGCGAAGGCGGCUAUCUGGACGGUUUCGACACUAAGACCGAAA